Molecule: long non-coding RNA, 137 nt
Filed under: Amphimedon queenslandica
Lineage: Eukaryota; Metazoa; Porifera; Demospongiae; Haplosclerida; Niphatidae
Description: uncharacterized LOC109585542, transcript variant X1
Source: RNAcentral
UGGUACUUUUAUAAUUUUUCAGAAUUCCUUUGCAAGAUAUGAACGAACCAGACAGGAUGAUGCAACCUAUUGAUGCUGUAAUUGAUCUUACUGAGACUGAUGCCCAUAGCUACAAAGCAAAAAGCCCACAAAACAAG